Molecule: long non-coding RNA, 2476 nt
Organism: Mauremys reevesii (Reeves's turtle)
Lineage: Eukaryota; Metazoa; Chordata; Testudines; Geoemydidae
Exons: 7
Source: RefSeq, a predicted model, not a curated record
GAGGGUGAUCAGAUCCACUCUCUCUGGAUCAUUAGAGAAAAAGGUCAAAGAUGUAUCACUGAGCUCUGACUCCAAACUUACCCACAACUGAGGGGCAGAAGGGUUAGAUCUGAGUUCCGGUUUGAAGAUACCUUUAUAUUUUAGCAAACUCUGUGCACUUAGCAGAAGAAAAAUUAUUACUUUAAGUUGCAGAAAUUUUAGGCAGACCAGGAGAAGCAAAAUAUUCCUCAUUAGCUUGCUGGGGUGUGUGGAGCUCUGUAAUUAGAGGUGCUCUGUUAAGGGCAGCAGCAGAAUGUCACUAGUGUAUUUACUGUGGAGAAAACUUGUCCUUCUGAGUUUUAGCAUUUAGCCAGAGCUAAUAGGGAGAGACAACAGGCAGCCUGCCCUGGACUGGACAAAGGGUAGAGGAGAGAAGGAGCCCUCCAACUCGACUUUCAGACCAGCCCUGGAAGCCAAGGGAAAGCCAGGGUUUGAGCAACUUGAGGGCCUUUUCCAUGCCAAGGGGUGACCUUUUUCCCUCGCCACCCUGAGAGGACAACUCAACAAUUUCUAAUGCUUGGGGGCAAAUGUAAGAAAAUAAAGCCCAGUGAUGACCUUGAGGAAGUUGUGGAUCUGCUGCAUGCUGCUGACAAAUGUUAGUUGCAGAUUCAGCUCUUGAUUUGAUUAUUGCUCAAGAAGGGGUUCUUUGCCACUCUUCACAUGCAACUCAGAACUGGAAUUAUAUUAAAAAAGAACAAGGAAAAUGAAGCCUUACCUGCUGGAAUUAUGUGACGGGGCCUUCAGGUUGCCUCAAACUGGAAUAGCUUCACUGUAGGGAGAAAAUGAAGCCGGAUUCUGAUGGCCAGAUGCCAAUGAAAAUUGGAAAAAUGUAGACAGAAAAAUGUAAAUGAAAAUUGAGAGCUGUUUAAGAAGGGUUUACAAGAUGGCCAAAAAGUCGUCAUUCUACAGUUGUGGCAGAAGAUCUUCAGCCUGUCACCUGGCCUGGAGAAUCGGCAGCAUGGUGAACAGGAAUUCGAGGGAGGAGAGGGGCAUUCUGAGAAUGGAAGCACUAACGGCUGUGAAGUGGCCAGGUACGACGAUGAUGAGCACACCUGAAAGACUUCUAAUAAUCCAGUCUGAUGGAUAUGGAUGGAUAACUGGCUAAACCCACAUGAGACAAGAAAGGUUAAAACCUCACAGACAAACAGAGAUGAAUAAAAGCAUUUUUGCCACCACUGAAGAAUCCAGCAGCUGUUGGAAAUCUGGGAUCGUUUGUAGAUUGCGGCUUUUAGUGAGAAAGCAUAGGCACAACAGCCCAACUCCAUCCCUGGGAAGCAGAACACAGUCUUUGCAAAACUCUCUGGGUGCUUCCUACUGCCUACAAGUAUCAGAUUUGUCUUAUCUGUAUUAUUAUUAUUAUUUAUUUGUAUUAGGAGCCCGGGUCAUGAACUAGGACCCCACUGUGCAAGGCACUGUAGAAACACAGAACAAAAAAUCUCUGCCCCAAGGGGCUUACAAUGAAUGAGCUUCAGCCUACUCACUGUCAUUCCUACUCUGGUCUCAACUAGGCAAUGGGGAAGCAAGUAGUCUAAAUGCGGGUGAUGAAUAGAGAUGAGGAGGUAAUUGUCGUCCUCAUGCUCGUGAUGUCACAGCCCAAAAUAUCUAGUUUCUUGAGUAUGAUCUUAAAAACCGUUAGUUGUUUGAAGGAAAGUCACAAUUUGUGUUAAUCUCUCUAAAAAAUGGCCCCAACAUUCUUCUCUGACCUGCUUUUAGUAGCCUGGGCCUAUAUUGCAGUUUAUAGCUCUCCUAGUGCCACUGCAUUCUCACAGAGUCCCAAUCUAGACUAUAUUGCAGUUGCUUCUCUGCAACACAACCUCUUCACAGAGCCCACCAGCAUGAGCUGAAUCUAGCUGAAACAGAGAACAGUGAGAAACAGCUGAUUCUCUUUUGAAGCAGAGUCAUUUCAGAGUCACUACGGUAUUAUCACCCAUUUAGGGCCUUUAGAAACUCCCAUAAUUUUUGUUAGCAUCUCUCAAAACUGCAGAAGCACUGUUACAACUUCAGGGCAGUGUUAGGUGGGAUAGGGCCCUCCUCAAAGCCCACUAAAGCCAAUGGAAAGACUCUCUUUGGACUGCACUGGACAUUGGAUCAGAAGUGGGUUGUUAAAAUGCUGGUGGCAGAUCUACAAUAGUGCCAUGCUAGGGAUUUAGUGGAAUAGUAGGAGAUUUUAGCAAAACUGCUGUUGUAGAUUAGGCUCAUGACAAGCUGAGAGUUCUGAGUGGGAAGCAUUCCAGUUUUUUUGUUUUUUUUUUUUAAAUAAACAGUUGUACUUCUUUAUCCAUGUCUACUGGGCUGUCAUAUACUUCCAAGACAGGGAUGCUUGUGAGAGGUUUUUGGCUAUGUUGAUGCAUCCUUUGGCUUUGUACUCUAGCUAAGCAAACCAGAGAUUAAUUUGCCUCUUAGUUUAUUUGCUCUGUGUGUGUACACACACACACAC